RNAcentral lists this ribosomal RNA (1033 nucleotides) under Erysiphe alphitoides. RNAcentral's name for it is "SSU rRNA". It matches the Rfam family "Eukaryotic small subunit ribosomal RNA", at positions 67 to 1105 of the family's 1831-position model. Lineage: Eukaryota; Fungi; Ascomycota; Leotiomycetes; Helotiales; Erysiphaceae. The record is from RNAcentral.
AAGCAAAUUUAUACCGUGAAACUGCGAAUGGCUCAUUAAAUCAGUUAUCGUUUACUUGAUAGUACCUUACUACUUGGAUAACCGUGGUAAUUCUAGAGCUAAUACAUGCUAAAAGCCCCGACUUCGGAAGGGGUGUAUUUAUUAGAUUAAAAACCAAUGCCCUUCGGGGCUCUUUGGUGAUUCAUAAUAACUUAACGAAUCGCAUGGCCUUGUGCCGGCGAUGGUUCAUUCAAAUUUCUGCCCUAUCAACUUUCGAUGGUAGUAUAUGGGACUACCAUGGUUUCAACGGGUAACGGGGAAUUAGGGUUCUAUUCCGGAGAGGGAGCCUGAGAAACGGCUACCACAUCCAAGGAAGGCAGCAGGCGCGCAAAUUACCCAAUCCCGACACGGGGAGGUAGUGACAAUAAAUACUGAUGCAGGGCUCUUUUGGGUCUUGUAAUUGGAAUGAGUACAAUUUAAAUCCCUUAACGAGGAACAAUUGGAGGGCAAGUCUGGUGCCAGCAGCCGCGGUAAUACCAGCUCCAAUAGCGUAUAUUAAAGUUGUUGCAGUUAAAAAGCUCGUAGUUGAACCUUGGGCCUGGCUGGCCGGUCCGCCUCACCGCGUGCACUGGUCCGGCCGGGUCUUUCCUCCUGGGGAGCCGCAUGCCCUUCACUGGGUGUGUCGGGGAACCAGGACUUUUACUUUGAAAAAAUUAGAGUGUUCAAAGCAGGCCUAUGCUCGAAUACAUUAGCAUGGAAUAAUAGAAUAGGACGUGUGGUUCUAUUUUGUUGGUUUCUCGGACCGCCGUAAUGAUUAAUAGGGAUGGUCGGGGGCAUCAGUAUUCAAUUGUCAGAGGUGAAAUUCUUGGAUUUAUUGAAGACUAACUACUGCGAAAGCAUUUGCCAAGGAUGUUUUCAUUAAUCAGGGAACGAAAGUUAGGGGAUCGAAGACGAUCAGAUACCGUCGUAGUCUUAACCAUAAACUAUGCCGACUAGGGAUCGGGCGAUGUUAUUUUUUUUUGACUCGCUCGGCACCUUACGAGAAAUCAAAGUC